CCUACGGGUGGCUGCAGUGGGGAAUAUUGGACAAUGGGCGCAAGCCUGAUCCAGCAAUACCGCGUGUGUGAAGAAGGCCUGAGGGUUGUAAAGCACUUUCACUAGGGAGGAAAACCUGCCGGCCAAUACCCGGCAGCUUGACAUUACCUAUAGAAGAAGCACCGGCUAACUCCGUGCCAGCAGCCGCGGUAAUACGGAGGGUGCAAGCGUUAAUCGGAAUUACUGUGGGUGAUUCGUGCAGACACAGGUGAAAGCCCCGGGCUUAACCUGGGAACUGCAUUUGAUACUGGGCAACUAGAGUUUAAUAGAGGAGAGUGGAAUUUCAGGUGUAGCGGUGAAAUGCGUAGAGAUCUGAAGGAACACCAGUGGCGAAGGCGACUCUCUGGAUUAAAACUGACGCUGAGGUACGAAAGCGUGGGUAGCAAACAGGAUUAGAUACCCGGGUAGUC
RNAcentral lists this ribosomal RNA (449 nucleotides) under uncultured bacterium. Its description in RNAcentral is "partial 16S ribosomal RNA". It matches the Rfam family "Bacterial small subunit ribosomal RNA", at positions 338 to 795 of the family's 1533-position model. The record is from RNAcentral.